RNAcentral lists this ribosomal RNA (1052 nucleotides) under Rainieria antennaepes. RNAcentral describes it as "eukaryotic LSU rRNA". It matches the Rfam family "Eukaryotic large subunit ribosomal RNA", at positions 943 to 1853 of the family's 3401-position model. Lineage: Eukaryota; Metazoa; Arthropoda; Insecta; Diptera; Micropezidae. The record is from RNAcentral.
UCUAGUAGCUGGUUCCCUCCGAAGUUUCUCACAGGAUAGCUGGUGCAUUUAAAAUUUAUAUAAAAUAAUCUUAUCUGGUAAAGCGAAUGAUUAGAGGCCUUAGGGUCGAAACGAUCUUAACCUAUUCUCAAACUUUAAAUGGGUAAGAACCUCACCUUUCUUGAUAUGAAGGUUGAGGUUAUGAUAUAAUGUGCCCAGCGGGCCACUUUUGGUAAGCAGAACUGGCGCUGUGGGAUGAACCAAACGUAAUGUUACGGUGCCAAAAUUAACAACUCAUACAGAUACCAUGAAAGGCGUUGGUUGCUUAAAACAGCAGGACGGUGGACAUGGAAGUCGUAAUCCGCUAAGGAGUGUGUAACAACUCACCUGCCAAGCAACUAGCCCUUAAAAUGGAUGGCGCUUAAGUUGUAUACCUAUACAUUACCGCUAAAGUAAAUGAUUUAUAUUCAAUUACGAUUGAAUUUAAUAAGUUUUGAAACUUUAGUGAGUAGGAGGGUAUAAUGGUGUGCAUAGAAGUGUUUGGCGUAAGCCUGCAUGGAGCCGCCAUUAGUACAGAUCUUGGUGGUAGUAGCAAAUAAUCGAAUGAGACCUUGGAGGACUGAAGUGGAGAAGGGUUUCGUGUGAACAGUGGUUGAUCACGAGUUAGUCGGUCCUAAGUUUAAUGCGAAAGCUGAAUAUUUUCAAAGUUUCAAAAAAAAAAAAUCAUAUAUUAUUAUAUUAUUAAUUAUUAUUUUAAUACACUUUGAUAAAUAUAUUUAAACGAAAGGGAAUACGGUUCCAAUUCCGUAACCUGUUGAGUAUCCGUUUGUUAUUAAAAUGGGCCAUUGUGUGCUCAUCCUGGUAACAGGAACGACCAUAAAGAAGCCGUCGAGAGAUAUCGGAAGAGUUUUCUUUUCUGUUUUAUAAUCGUACUACCAUGGAAGUCUUUCGAAGAGAGAUAUGGUCGAUGGAUUAGAAGAGCAUGACAUUUACUGUUGUGUCGAUAUUAUCUCCUCGGACCUUGAAAAUUUAUGGUGGGGUCACGUAAAUCUCUCAACAGGCCGUACCGAUAU